Non-coding RNA from Streptomyces sp., 84 nucleotides. The record is from Rfam. Lineage: Bacteria; Bacillati; Actinomycetota; Actinomycetes; Kitasatosporales; Streptomycetaceae.
ACCUGUACCGGGGCGAGAGCAGGGCGUCCCGGUGGCAGAAAGACAUACACCGUGCCACGGAAUGCGUGCGCACAUAUGGGCGUU